CAAAAACCAAUACACAGAAGAAAAAUGAAAGAAACUGAAAAUGGAGGAAACAGCAACCAAAACGCCUGUUGACUGGAGAAUGUUUGUGCCCAUGUGGUCCAGGCACAUGCGAGACUGCUGACCUCCGCCCAGCCCGUUGUCCUCCACCCAGCCCGUCAUCCUCUGCCCAGCCCGUCGUCCUCCAACCAGCCCACCGUCCUCCGCUUUCAGAAACACACAGCUCACUGCCUCAAGCUUGGGCUGGCAUCAGGCUGGCAGCCAGCAGUGGGAGGGGUCAGCAUGUGAAGAGACAUCAAAGAUUUCACUGCUCGAACCCAUGUCAGGAGCUGAAUGACCACGCCCCAAGCCAGUCAAGUGUUUAGAACGGAGCCAUAGUCUGAUGGGUGUUUCUGUGGAGGCCUCUCCUGCAGUUCUCUUGAACCUGGCCUGUUGUGUCUCUAUUCCACCUGGUCCCUUGAGAAUCCUCCAGAAGCCAGAUGACUCCUGCGUCCGUCUCCUUCUGUGCUCCAGUCCCCCUCCCUGAGGGCAGCCUAUUGACCAGGUUGCAAGAAGAACCCAGGCUGACUUUCUCUCCAUGGG
Long non-coding RNA from Gorilla gorilla gorilla (western lowland gorilla), 579 nucleotides. RefSeq lists it as uncharacterized. NCBI's taxonomy places the organism in Eukaryota, Metazoa, Chordata, Mammalia, Primates, Hominidae. The record is from RefSeq and is a predicted model, not a curated record. The transcript has 3 exons.